UUAAAUCUUUUUACAAUAUAAAAUGAUCAAACACUUGUCCAUUUAUUACAUGCAACUGAGUAAAAACAUGGCUACAUUUCUCAAAUUUGUGUAUGUUUUCAUCCUAUUUUCUUCUCUCCUUCUUGCAGUAACUGUAACCGAAGGGUCCAUGCAUUAUCGCGAAUGCUCAAAGGACAGUCAUUGUCCAAAUCUAUGUGUCGCACCGCAUGUUAGGAGGUGUCUUUGGUAUCAUUGUUACUGCACAAAUUAACAGCAAAGAAGAAUAUAUCAGACAAAGGUUAUUUUUCUGUGCUUUUAUAAGAUAUAAAGAAUAAAAACGUCACUACAAAACGUGCUCCAAUAAAUAAGAUAAUAUGGUUAUGUAAAAUGGUUAUUUAAAUAUAUUAAUAUGGUUGUAUAAAUUGGUUAGUUAAAUAUAUUAAUAUGGUAACCAAUACUUUUAUUUUA
Vicia villosa (hairy vetch) is the source of this 447-nucleotide long non-coding RNA. RefSeq lists it as uncharacterized. The transcript has 3 exons. Lineage: Eukaryota; Viridiplantae; Streptophyta; Magnoliopsida; Fabales; Fabaceae. The record is from RefSeq and is a predicted model, not a curated record.